Long non-coding RNA from Triticum aestivum (bread wheat), 988 nucleotides. RefSeq lists it as uncharacterized. The transcript has 4 exons. NCBI's taxonomy places the organism in Eukaryota, Viridiplantae, Streptophyta, Magnoliopsida, Poales, Poaceae. The record is from RefSeq and is a predicted model, not a curated record.
CAAGCUAGGGUUGGAGCCGCCGCCCCUCCGGCAACGCGCCGCUCGCCUCCUCCAGCCCACAUGCCCCAGCGACUCCUCCCUGCUCGACUCCCGACGAGUCGCGCCGCCCCCGGUCACGUUGGGACACACCUCCUCCCGGCUCCAUCUCCUCCUCCCCGUCUCCUGCUGGUGAAAGCUCCGUCUCUCUUCCUUUGGUUGAGGGUCUGAUAAUGGACGUAAGACAUCUGUUGGAGAGGAGAUUAAAAUAUGGAAGAUAGCAGCAGACGAGGUAGUUGAAGCUGGUAGAUCAAUUGAGCAAGAGCCCCAGAUCCAGCAAACAAUGUUGAGAAACAAGAGUAACAAUUACGUAGUAGUAGAUCAUACAAAGGACUGGUGACGAUUCAUCAGUCAUGGUCCAAGAACGACAUGGAAAUUAAAAUGAAGCACGACAUGUCCGCAUAAUAGCAGAAGCAGACCAAGAGAAGAAAAUUGAUUAGCAGCUCAACAACGACGCCUGCUAAGAGAGGAUCAACACGUGCAUCCUUUUGCCAUUUCGGAAGCCCCACAUCCUCGAGCUUGAUAGGCUCAUCUACCAUCCUGGCCGACGUCCUUGCCAUCUUCCCCGAGCCCCACAACAACCUCGUCAGCUGCCGCCGGAGCAGAGCACAUCGGCAGACCAAGAUGAGGAUAGCCCAUACCGCACCCAAGGUUUUUAGUAGAUGAAGGACAAAAGUCUGCGCACAGAAGACCAUUCUUGAUGGAUUCAAGAGAAUCAAGAGUGAAGCAUCAAGAUACGAUAAAUAUGUCGAUUACAAAUAUGCCUACCGAGACACGGGUUGUUUCAUAUAUCUUUGGUUGAUUUGGAUCUGCUCACAGAGAAAAAGGAUGACCAUAUAUAUAUGGUAGUUACUUCCAUGUCACAAAGGUGCUCUUUAGUAGGUACUGCAUAAUCAUGUUAAAGUUUCACAACAUUCACAUUCUCAGUGUUGUUCUCAUAUCCUGUAUCUCC